GUACGUUGCCCACCAUUUUUUUGGAGCUAAGAGACCUAAUUUCUUUAUGUGUAUGAAGAAGUUUUGAUACUCAACUGAUUAUGACACAAAUAUUGGCUAUUUGGAAUGUCCCUAUAUUGGGAAUUAUAAUUCUUAUGGACUUAGUUGAAUGCUUUGGUCAAUAUGAAAUACAAGUCUUUUUCUCCUUGGAUUUACUCGAGACUAAGUUUUUACUGGUCAAAAUGGCUCACUGGGUAAACAACCCACCUGCAACACAGGAGACAGGAGAUGCAGGUUUGAUCUCUGGGUUGGGAAGAUCCCCUGGAGGGAGAAAUGGCAGCCCACUCCAGUAUUCUUGCAUGGGAAAUGCCACGGACAGAGGAGCCUGGCGGACUAUAGUGCAUGGGGUCAGGUCACAAAGAGCUGGACGUGGCUCAGCACGCAGCACGUGACUAAAACACAAAGGCAGCGUGACGCCGAGCUCUGCAAGCCUAGUGUAGUAAGUAGGGUGAGCGGAUCUCACCCUGCUCGCUUUGAGGGUUCAGAAAAGACCUAUAGUGCAUUCAGUUAAUACAUGUUAGCUACAGGUUUGAGAUCAGGGAAGUCAAAGAGAAAUGAUUUUAUACGUGGAAUUGAGAACGCAUGGUGGAGUUUGGGAUUAUGUUAUUACCGUAUAACAAUUUGAGCCACAUCAGUGUUUUACUGUUGACAGACUCAAGCUCAUUAGGGAAAGAUAGGGGAAAUCAGACUUAUGGAAAUUAGGUUACUUGACCCAGGAAGAGGGUACCCUAGAGAUCUAAUGGAAACAGGUCUAGAAAGCUGAACUAUUAAGAGAAAACACUUCGGAAUGCUUUUUCAUGUUUUGUUCUUUUAUUCCAUUACCCCUCCCUUUGUCUCAGUAUUAUUCCUUUCUUCUAGGUUCCUUCUGCCCUUGUUUGCUGAACAUUUUAUUUUCACUGCUGUUUUCUAGAUCCUACCUAGAAGAGGAAUGAGGACCUUCACAGCAGCAGAACAGCACGAUUGUCAGAGGUAUGUUCAUUAGCAAUACUAUCUAUCAGGAUGACACUGCAAAUUUCCCCACCAAAAUGUUAGGUUAAUACAUACACUGCAUUAACUUUUAGAAAUAUCCCCCAAAUGUUCAAGGUUAAAGACAGAGGUGGUAAUAAAACUGGAUUAUACUGCUCUGAGGCAAGCUUUUUUUCUUAAUGGGGUUCAUGCAUUGGCUUGGAAGGCAGAAACCAGAGAGGAGUCCCAAAAGAGUUUUUUAAAAAGUUGAUCUGGAUAUAUGUUGUGGAAUGGUUUUUAAAAACAAAUUUCAUCAUGCGAAGACUUGUUUCCUCUUUGGAUCUCACAUAUCAUCUCCAAGAGACCUCUGACAACCCUAUCCUCCAAUCCCUCCCUUCCCACUAUCUUUAACCUUUUAAAAUUGUAUUCACUGCCCUAAUCUUAACAUUGUUACUUAUUUCUUGUCUACGGUCACACCCUAUAAACUCUGUAAGAGUCUUGCUCUGUGU
Molecule: long non-coding RNA, 1493 nt
Organism: Bos taurus (domestic cattle)
Lineage: Eukaryota; Metazoa; Chordata; Mammalia; Artiodactyla; Bovidae
Source: Ensembl